This 2260-nucleotide long non-coding RNA is filed under the name Brachypodium distachyon (stiff brome). RNAcentral's name for it is "long non-coding RNA (BDIS_LNC003129)". The record is from RNAcentral. Lineage: Eukaryota; Viridiplantae; Streptophyta; Magnoliopsida; Poales; Poaceae.
UAUUACACAGAUGAAGACCGUUGUCGCUUCAGUCAUGUGGAGCUUUGACAUGGAGGUGUUUGGUGAUCAAGGCAUCGAGCCGAAGCUAUCUUGUCUUCUGCAAAUGAAGAAUGGGCUCAAACUGAAAGUACAGAAGCGAGAAAUGUAAUAUCUUGGGAUUCAUGAGAAUCUAUCAGGAUGAGAGAUUUAGAAAAUGAUUUUGGAUGAAUUGAGGCAUCCGUUCCACCGUCUUUUCACAACUAUAGUAGGGAGAGAGAGCAUUUGCCAACAACUAAGAUAUAGGAAACAUAAUAUAAGUUUCUUUUGAGCAAUAUAAUUUACUUUAUGCUUUAUUUUUUCCUUGUAUCAAAUCUUGUAGGUUCAGUUUUAGUACGACAAAACCUUUUCCCCUUUUGUUAUGCUUGUCUUGAAGAAAGACUUACAUACAUAUGAACUUUACAAGGAAGUUAGAAAUGUUGUCAUGGGAAGCAAAAAAAAAAAGAUGCAAUCAAAACUAAUGACUUCUUCGCCACACGGAGUUUUUAUUGGUGGUACAUCAAGAGAAAACUGUGCAGCAUAUUUGAUAUUCUUUCUGGCCAUGGAAUUAAUAGCAAAACAAACAAAUAUACAUAAAGUUAUUUUGAUGAUAACAAAGAAAAUUAGUCAGCCAACUUGGGGUGAACCCAAUUGACACUAUAAUAGUAUUGUUAAAGACAGAGUUCAAAUUGAUGUAAAAAAACACAUUCAUAAAAGAAGCAACAGCAAGUACAACUUACGAUGCAAGAAAUUCGAGCAAAUUAAGGCAUGGAGGAUACAAGUGAUGCAACCAGCUGACAUCAUUCUACUGGCUAGGUAGCUACUGCAUGCAUGACCAACCACCGGCCCGUAAUAUAGCUUAUUAGUUAAGCUCCGGCGAAAAACUAUGGAACGGUAACAAUGUCACUUCAUUGCAGGAUUUACAAAUAUCACUUUCUUCGUUGCAGGAUUAAUUUAUGUAUCCAAAUUCUGGACGACCGCACCGCUGUGCUGAAUGUAUGCUUUCUUGUCCUCAAGCGAAAUCUUCUUCCUCCCUGCUAACUAAAAUCUUCAAACGCACCAUGAAGACCUAAAACUUUCGAGAUUCGCUAUUGCACAAUCGGCUGAGAAAUAAUAAUUUCUCAGUCGACUCUAUGAACCGUCGAUUCAUGUGCGAUCCGUGCACUCUCAAAUUUGUUCAGGCUUGUUUGGAAUUUCAGAUUGUUGUUGUGCGCUUGUGCUGUUUGUAGCAGGCCCGUCAGAAGUCCUAGCAGGUGCAGGUGUAUGGAUGGCAACUGAGAAAUAACUAUUUCUUAGUCGAUGAUAACAACUUUUUGAUUCAAUCAUUGAGAUUCGUGUAAGAUUAAUGUUGAUCCGCUAGAUAAGAAAGUCUUAUUGGAUGGCUACAAAUGUCGAUUGAGAAAUAACUAUUCUUAUGCGACCGAGAAAUAGACACUCCCUGUAAAAAUUGUAAGUGUAGUUCAUGUGUUUUUUUUCAAAACAAAGAUAGUUUCUUUUUUUAUCACUAAAUAGCAGUCAAGUGUAACUUUCUGUACUAAUGUUUUGCAAUUGCAACCUAGCUUCACUAAUUAUAAGUGUAAUUUUUGUCUUAUCUUUUUUCUUCUUAAUCCUAAUAAAAAUAGCGGUCAAAUGUAAUUUUGUGUGCUAGUAUUUUGCAACUACAACCUACCUUCAGUAAUUAUAAGUGAAUUUUUGUGUGCUUACUUUUCAAUAAUUAUAAGUAAUUAUAAUUAUACUUUAAUACGUUGCAACAGAAGGCCCCUUUGCUAGUAGAUGUUUAUUAUGUGAGUCAGUGGCAGAAUAGAUGUUUAUAUGUUUUGUCAAUUCUCAAAAAGGGAAGAUUUUCUCUCGCGGCAGUAUUCGAUGGCUCUUGCUACUCCUUGCCCACAUUUGGGCAGAAAUUGAGCUUCGGGGAUCCCCUUGAAUUCAAUCUUUUCUACAUAUGCAUCCAAACAACUGAAAUAGUUGUAUAGCUGCAAGAUCUGAAUGAGUAGGGGAAAAUCGCCAAACCCUAGAAUGCGUCAACCUAGCGAAAGUGCCAAAAUAAAAUAAAAAUAGCAGAACAGAGGUCAGAUCUAACCUUGGCUGCCUGCCACCUGAUCUCGCACUUCAUGAAUUCGCAGCCGUAGUCCGCGUGAGAGGUACUAGCCCGUACUUAUGCCAUGAGUGCGGCAGAGCAGAUGAGCUUCCACGAGACAUCAUGGUGGUCCAGUCUCAACAUAGCAGUCGCCCUUGUCGCCGUUGA